Molecule: small nucleolar RNA, 207 nt
Organism: Pristis pectinata (smalltooth sawfish)
Lineage: Eukaryota; Metazoa; Chordata; Chondrichthyes; Rhinopristiformes; Pristidae
Product: small nucleolar RNA SNORA73 family
Exons: 1
Source: RefSeq, a predicted model, not a curated record
CCAACGUGGGCAUCCAGCAGCUUCUGUCUGGCACUGUCUGUGUGGCGUGUGGGAGCAUAGACUUUUGGUCUGUGAUGUACAGUCCCGUUCCAUAACGUUGAAGAGCAGGUAUGUCCCCAGCUUUUAGCUGGUGAGGACUGCAUCCAUAUAUUCCUAGACCUUCCCUGUCUGCUGUGACUGGGGAGAUAAACCAUAUAGGGUACAUGU